AUGGCCAAGGAAGGCAUUGCUGCUGGAGGUGCCAUGGACGUUCAUACUGCUCUGCAAGAUGUGCUGAAGACAGCCCUCGUCCACUGUGGCCUAGCACAUGAAGUCUGCACAGCUGCCACAGCCUUAGGUAAGCGCCAAGCCCAUCUGUGUGUGCGUGCAUCCAGCCGUGAUGUCAAGCUGGUGGAGGCCCUUCGUGUUGAGCACCGAAUCAACCUGAUUAAGGUUGAUGACAACAAGAAACUAAGGGAAUGGGUAGGCCUCUGUAAAACUGACAGAGAGAGAACACCCCUAUAAAGUGGUUGGUUGCGGUUGUGUGGUGGUUAAGGGCUAUGGCAAAGAGUCUCAGGCUAAGGAUGUCACCCAAGAGUACUCCAAACGUAAGAAAUGA
RNAcentral lists this long non-coding RNA (388 nucleotides) under Bos taurus (domestic cattle). RNAcentral describes it as "long non-coding RNA NONBTAT022842". Lineage: Eukaryota; Metazoa; Chordata; Mammalia; Artiodactyla; Bovidae. The record is from RNAcentral.